Molecule: ribosomal RNA, 253 nt
Filed under: uncultured bacterium
Lineage: Bacteria
Description: partial 16S ribosomal RNA
Rfam family: Bacterial small subunit ribosomal RNA
Source: RNAcentral
UACGUAGGGUGCAAGCGUUGUCCGGAAUUACUGGGCGUAAAGAGUUCGUAGGCGGUUUGUCGCGUCGUUUGUGAAAACCAGCAGCUCAACUGCUGGCUUGCAGGCGAUACGGGCAGACUUGAGUACUGCAGGGGAGACUGGAAUUCCUGGUGUAGCGGUGAAAUGCGCAGAUAUCAGGAGGAACACCGGUGGCGAAGGCGGGUCUCUGGGCAGUAACUGACGCUGAGGAGCGAAAGCGUGGGGAGCGAACAGG